GUGAGACAGUUUGGUCCCUAUCUGCCAUGGGCGCAGGAUAUUUGAGGAGAUCUGUCCCUAGUACGAGAGGACCGGGAUGGACGAACCUCUGGUUCACCAGUUGUCACGCCAGUGGCAUAGCUGGGUAGCUAUGUUCGGAAUGGAUAACCGCUGAAAGCAUCUAAGCGGGAAGCCAACUCCAAGAUUAGAUAUCCCUUUCUGAUGGUGACAUCAGAUCAGUAGACUCCCUGAAGAUGACAGGGUUGAUAGGCUGGAUGUGUAAGUCCUGUAAGGGAUUUAGCUAACCAGUACUAAUAAGUCGUGAGGCUUGACCACCUUUUU
This 321-nucleotide ribosomal RNA is filed under the name Candidatus Schekmanbacteria bacterium RIFCSPHIGHO2_02_FULL_38_11. RNAcentral's name for it is "bacterial LSU rRNA". It matches the Rfam family "Bacterial large subunit ribosomal RNA", at positions 2621 to 2925 of the family's 2925-position model. The record is from RNAcentral. Lineage: Bacteria; Candidatus Schekmaniibacteriota.